CACGAAACGAAUCCAUUGCAUAUUUACAACGCUUUCGUACACACCCAACGUAAUCAGAAUUUCUAGACGGUUGAGAAUUCUAAAUGUGAAGAGUUGUAAAUAAAUGGGACGCCUGCGGAAGUGAUAAGAGUGUGGCAAAAGAUUACCAUGCAGUGUUGAAAGUAUGCCAAUUGACAACAUCGCUUGGUUCGGUAAUGGUACGGUAGGUUCAUCACAAUCAGGAAAUGGUCAUGCUCACAGAGGUCAUCAUCUACCCUUCAGUGGAUUGGGAAGUGGAGACUGGGGUUACAAAUUAAGAGGAACCACGCCAUGUAUCAAGGUCAUGGAAUGAUUUGUUUGAAGAAUCUUCAGAAACUUACGUGGACCUUGAUAGUAGAGGCGAUAGCAACAACACCGUGGAAAACAACCAAUGAAGCCUCCAAAAAGACCAAGGCCAAAGAUGAAAUUAUCGCCAGAACGGACUGAAAUUCAAACAGCCGUGAAUGACAUUAAGGAAAUAAAUCGCAGCUUAACAGUUCCUGCCCAGAGAAUCAGAAGAUGAAUGUGAUUAAUUGGAAGACAUUUAUCACUGCAGCUCAGACAGUCACAGUCAAUUGAUAGAAUUGAUGCCAUGGCUGAAAUCCAUGCAGGAAAGGUUUCUGUGAUAUACUUGAGUAUAUACCUUCUAAUCAAUGUUUCUAAUCUGUUACAUCACCACAGUCGACUGUAGGGUUCCCACCAAAAUCGCCACCACCCGAUACACCAGUAACACCUGCUUAUUAUCAGCCCAAUAAACCUUCAGUGUCUGCACACUACGCAGUUGGAACAAUCCUCGCAGUUAAUACUCUCAAGUGAUGUACUUCGUGCAGCAAUGACAUUCUGUGAUUUAAUAAACUAACCUAUUUAGUUUUAUAUUAGUGUAUAAGGCUUAUUUUUAAUACAUGCAAAAAACGUAAACGAGUCAGUUAUGAAUUAGA
This is a long non-coding RNA of Schistocerca serialis cubense, 956 nucleotides long. RefSeq lists it as uncharacterized. Lineage: Eukaryota; Metazoa; Arthropoda; Insecta; Orthoptera; Acrididae. The transcript has 3 exons. The record is from RefSeq and is a predicted model, not a curated record.